CAGGGAGACAACAAAAUGUUAAAUAUUAUAAUUUUGUCACCUUAGGUCGAUCGGUAUCUCACGUUCUUAAUUUAUUAAGAAUUUCAUUUCCUAAGUUUUUCUAGGUCACACCCAUUAUUUUUCCCGGGCCAUUAGCUCAGGUGGUUAGAGCGCACCCCUGAUAAGGGUGAGGUCCCUGGUUCAAGUCCAGGAUGGCCCAUACUCUAUGUUGGGGGUAUAGCUCAGUUGGUAGAGCGCCUGCUUUGCAAGCAGGAUGUCAGCGGUUCGAGUCCGCUUACCUCCACUGAUUACCACCUCUUCCAUAAGUUGAAGAAAGGAAAUGUUUUGAGUUGUGAUCAAAUUUCUGAACGAAUCUAGCUUCCUAAUUAUCUUAUUAAGAUGCUGGACUCAUUGAAUUAAUUUCAUUGUUUUCAGAGAACCUUGACAACUGCAUAGAUUAUUUUUAAAGACAAUAAGCAUCUUUAAUGAUGCAGAUUUAUUAUUUGUGCGAAUGCAUUAAUAACAAUUCUAUUAAGCUGAUGCCUCAAUAUUGAAGUUAUU
This 540-nucleotide transfer RNA is filed under the name uncultured cyanobacterium. Its description in RNAcentral is "partial 16S-23S ribosomal RNA intergenic spacer". The stretch from base 211 to 283 matches the Rfam family "tRNA". Lineage: Bacteria; Bacillati; Cyanobacteriota. The record is from RNAcentral.